This 837-nucleotide ribosomal RNA is filed under the name Areotheca ambigua. RNAcentral's name for it is "eukaryotic LSU rRNA". It matches the Rfam family "Eukaryotic large subunit ribosomal RNA", at positions 68 to 938 of the family's 3401-position model. The record is from RNAcentral. Lineage: Eukaryota; Fungi; Ascomycota; Sordariomycetes; Sordariales; Naviculisporaceae.
ACAGGGAUUGCCCCAGUAACGGCGAGUGAAGCGGCAACAGCUCAAAUUUGAAAUCUGGCUUCGGCCCGAGUUGUAAUUUGUAGAGGAAGCUUUUGGUGCGGCACCUACUGAGUCCCCUGGAACGGGGCGCCAUAGAGGGUGAGAGCCCCGUAUAGUAGGAUGCCCAGCCUUUGUAAAGCUCCUUCGACGAGUCGAGUAGUUUGGGAAUGCUGCUCAAAAUGGGAGGUAAAUUUCUUCUAAAGCUAAAUAUUGGCCAGAGACCGAUAGCGCACAAGUAGAGUGAUCGAAAGAUGAAAAGCACUUUGAAAAGAGGGUUAAACAGCACGUGAAAUUGUUGAAAGGGAAGCGCUUGUGACCAGACUUGCGCCGGGCCGAUCAUCCGGUGUUCUCACCGGUGCACUCGGCCCGGCUCAGGCCAGCAUCGGUUCUCGUGGGGGGAUAAAGGCUCAGGGAACGUGGCUCCUCCGGGAGUGUUAUAGCCCUGGGUGCAAUGCCCUCGCGGGGACCGAGGUUCGCGCAUCUGCAAGGAUGCUGGCGUAAUGGUCAUCAGCGACCCGUCUUGAAACACGGACCAAGGAGUCAAGGUUUUGCGCGAGUGUUUGGGUGUUAAACCCGCACGCGUAAUGAAAGUGAACGUAGGUGAGAGCUUCGGCGCAUCAUCGACCGAUCCUGAUGUAUUCGGAUGGAUUUGAGUAGGAGCGUUAAGCCUUGGACCCGAAAGAUGGUGAACUAUGCUUGGAUAGGGUGAAGCCAGAGGAAACUCUGGUGGAGGCUCGCAGCGGUUCUGACGUGCAAAUCGAUCGUCAAAUCUGAGCAUGGGGGCGAAAGACUAAUCGA